RNAcentral lists this ribosomal RNA (242 nucleotides) under uncultured bacterium. RNAcentral describes it as "partial 16S ribosomal RNA". It matches the Rfam family "Bacterial small subunit ribosomal RNA", at positions 113 to 354 of the family's 1533-position model. The record is from RNAcentral.
CGACGUGAGUAACCUGCCUUGGAGUGGGGAAUAACACAUCGAAAGAUGUGCUAAUACCGCAUAAUGCAGUUGGGCCGCAUGGCUCUGGCUGCCAAAGAUUUAUCGCUCUGAGAUGGACUCGCGUCUGAUUAGCUGGUUGGCGGGGUAACGGCCCACCAAGGCGACGAUCAGUAGCCGGACUGAGAGGUUGACCGGCCACAUUGGGACUGAGACGCGGCCCAGACUCCUACGGGAGGCAGCAG